GUCGACGGCAGCAUGAUCUAGCUUGCUAGAUUGAUGGCGAGUGGCGAACGGGUGAGUAAUACAUCGGAACGUGCCCUGUAGUGGGGGAUAACUAGUCGAAAGAUUAGCUAAUACCGCAUACGACCUGAGGGUGAAAGUGGGGGACCGCAAGGCCUCAUGCUAUAGGAGCGGCCGAUGUCUGAUUAGCUAGUCGGUGGGGUAAAGGCCCACCAAGGCGACGAUCAGUAGCUGGUCUGAGAGGACGAUCAGCCACACUGGGACUGAGACACGGCCCACACUCCUACGGGAGGCAGCAGUGGGGAAUUUUGGACAAUGGGCGAAAGCCUGAUCCAGCAAUGCCGCGUGUGUGAAGAAGGCCUUCGGGUUGUAAAGCACUUUUGUCCGGAAAGAAAUGGCUCUGGUUAAUACCUGGGGUCGAUGACGGUACCGGAAGAAUAAGGACCGGCUAACUACGUGCCAGCAGCCGCGGUAAUACGUAGGGUCCAAGCGUUAAUCGGAACUACCGGGCGUAAAGCGUGCGCAAGCGGUUGUGCAAGACCGAUGUGAAAUCCCCGAGCUUAACUUGGGAAUUGCAUUGGUGACUGCACGGCUAGAGUGUGUCAGAGGGGGGUAGAAUUCCACGUGUACCAGUGAAUGCGAAGAGAUGUGGAGGAAUACCGAUGGCGAAAGCUCCCCCUGGGAUACACUGACACUCAUGCAAUAAGCGUGGGGAGCUAAAGGAUUAAUACCCUGGUAGUCACGCCCUAAAGAUGUCACUACUCUUGGGGAUUAUUUCCUUAUAACGUACUCACGGGGAAGUUACCCCUGGGGAUUCUGCCCUAGAUUAAACUUAAUGAUUGACGGG
Molecule: ribosomal RNA, 844 nt
Filed under: uncultured beta proteobacterium
Lineage: Bacteria; Pseudomonadati; Pseudomonadota; Betaproteobacteria
Description: bacterial SSU rRNA
Rfam family: Bacterial small subunit ribosomal RNA
Source: RNAcentral